This 407-nucleotide ribosomal RNA is filed under the name uncultured bacterium. Its description in RNAcentral is "bacterial SSU rRNA". It matches the Rfam family "Bacterial small subunit ribosomal RNA", at positions 355 to 774 of the family's 1533-position model. The record is from RNAcentral.
UGGGGAAUAUUGCACAAUGGGCGCAAGCCUGAUGCAGCAACGCCGCGUGAGGGACGACGGCCUUCGAGUUGUAAACCUCUUUUGGCAGGGAAGAAGCGAAAGUGACGGUACCCGCAGAAAAAGCACCGGCUAACUACGUGCCAGCAGCCGCGGUGAUACGUAGGGUGCAAGCGUUGUCCGGAAUUAUUGGGCGUAAAGAGCUCGUAGGCGGUUUGUCGCGUCUGCUGUGAAAACCCGAGGCUCAACCUCGGGCCUGCAGUGGGUACGGGCAAACUAGAGUGCGGUAGGGGAGAUUGGAAUUCCUGGUGUAGCGGUGGAAUGCGCAGAUAUCAGGAGGAACACCGAUGGCGAAGGCAGAUCUCUGGGCCGUAACUGACGCUGAGGAGCGAAAGCAUGGGGAGCGAACA